GGAGUAAAAGUCGUAACAAGGUCUCCGUUGGUGAACCAGCGGAGGGAUCAUUAUCGAGUUUAUAACUCCCAAACCCUAUGUGAACUUACCACUUGUUGCUUCGGCGCGCGCUUCGGCGCCGCCGAGGACACUUAAACUCUUUGUUUUUAUAAGCAUUUCUGAGUGGCCGAAAGGCAAAAUACAAAUGAAUCAAAACUUUCAACAACGGAUCUCUUGGUUCUG
RNAcentral lists this unclassified non-coding RNA (222 nucleotides) under plant metagenome. Its description in RNAcentral is "partial contains small subunit ribosomal RNA, internal transcribed spacer 1, and 5.8S ribosomal RNA". The stretch from base 1 to 53 matches the Rfam family "Eukaryotic small subunit ribosomal RNA", at positions 1779 to 1831 of the family's 1831-position model. The record is from RNAcentral.